This 810-nucleotide ribosomal RNA is filed under the name uncultured bacterium. RNAcentral's name for it is "bacterial SSU rRNA". It matches the Rfam family "Bacterial small subunit ribosomal RNA", at positions 8 to 796 of the family's 1533-position model. The record is from RNAcentral.
AGAGUUUGAUCAUGGCUCAGAACGAACGCUGGCGGCGUGCUUAACACAUGCAAGUCGAACGUGAUUGGAAGCUUGCUUCCAUGAAAGUGGCGCACGGGUGAGUAACGCGUGGAUAACCUGCCCUGGUAUCUGGGAUAACAUCUCGAAAGGGGUGCUAAUACCGGAUAAGCCCACGGACUCUUCGGAGUUUGAGGGAAAAGGUGGCCUCUGUUUCAAGCUACCGUAUCAGGAUGGGUCCGCGUACCAUUAGCUAGUUGGUAGGGUAAUGGCCUACCAAGGCGACGAUGGUUAGCUGGUCUGAGAGGAUGAUCAGCCACACUGGAACUGAGACACGGUCCAGACUCCUACGGGAGGCAGCAGUGGGGAAUUUUGCGCAAUGGGGGAAACCCUGACGCAGCAACGCCGCGUGAGUGAUGAAGGCUUUCGGGUCGUAAAGCUCUGUCAGAGGGGAAGAAAUGAUGAGGUGCUAAUACCGCUUCAUCUUGACGGUACCCUCAAAGGAAGCACCGGCUAACUCCGUGCCAGCAGCCGCGGUAAUACGGAGGGUGCAAGCGUUGUUCGGAUUUAUUGGGCGUAAAGCGCGUGUAGGCGGUCUUCUAAGUCUGAUGUGAAAGCCCUGGGCUCAACCCAGGAAGUGCAUUGGAUACUGGGAGACUUGAAUACGGGAGAGGGUAGUGGAAUUCCUAGUGUAGGAGUGAAAUCCGUAGAUAUUAGGAGGAACACCGGUGGCGAAGGCGGCUACCUGGACCGAUAUUGACGCUGAGACGCGAAAGCGUGGGGAGCAANNAGGAUUAGAUACCCNNGUAGUCC